This is a long non-coding RNA of Homo sapiens (human), 560 nucleotides long. The record is from Ensembl. NCBI's taxonomy places the organism in Eukaryota, Metazoa, Chordata, Mammalia, Primates, Hominidae.
CUGCUCCGGGCAGCCCCGCGGGUGAGCUGGGUGCGCGCUGGGUGCUUGGGGUCUGGCUCGCUCUCCCAUCCCCGGGCAGACAGCUGCACGGGUGGCCUCGUGGUCCAUGGCCUCCGGCUGGGCCGGGGAAAGCCGUUUCGCGGAGCACGCCCGGCGGGUAAGAUGCUUCUGGAAGGUUCCCUCAAGGAGGACAGCUGCCCCCUGUGCCUGGUGUUCCUGACUCUGAGCCAGGGCCGGGAGGGAGCCCCUCCCCUCCCUGAAUGCUGGGGACGUCCCUGUCACAGGGUCUGCUGGAGGCUGCAGACUUCCCGAGGCCUCGUCUUCACCAGCCUGAGCCAGGGAGACAGGGAGGCGGUGCCACCUGGCCCUGGACCACCGAGGCCAAGGUCUCACAGGAAGCUCAGCCUCCAGCCCCUGCAGAUCCGCACGGCAGCCGCAGACAUCCUGAGGACGACGCGUCCUGGGGUCCCAGCUGCACGAGGCUCAGGACAGAGCUGGGGGUGUCAGCGACAAUAUUUCCCUCGCUCGUACAUUCCUUGGUAAUAAAAACACAAGCGGAA